AUACGUAGGGGGCGAGCGUUGUCCGGAAUGAUUGGGCGUAAAGGGCGCGUAGGCGGCCCGGUAAGUCUGGAGUGAAAGUCCUGUUUUUAAGAUGGGAAUUGCUUUGGAUACUGUCGGGCUUGAGUGCAGGAGUGGUAAGUGGAAUUCCAAUUGUAGCGGUGAAAUGCGUAGAGAUUGGGAGGAACACCAGUGGCGAAGGCGACUUACUGGACUGUAACGGGCGCUGAGGCGCGAAAGUGUGGGGAGCAAACAGGAUUAGAUACCCUGGUAAUCCACACUGUAACCGAUGAAUGCUAGGUGUAGGGGGUAUCGACCCCUUCUGUGCCGCAGUCAACACAAUAAGCAUUCCGCCUGGGGAGUACGGCCGCAAGGUUGAAACUUAAAGGAAUUGGCGGGG
This 397-nucleotide ribosomal RNA is filed under the name uncultured bacterium. Its description in RNAcentral is "partial 16S ribosomal RNA". It matches the Rfam family "Bacterial small subunit ribosomal RNA", at positions 523 to 918 of the family's 1533-position model. The record is from RNAcentral.